CCUACGGGCGGCAGCAGUGGGGAAUAUUGGACAAUGGGGGCAACCCUGUUCCAGCCAUGCCGCGUGUGUGAAGAAGGCCCUCGGGUUGUAAAGCACUUUCAGUGAGGAAGAACGCCUGGUGGUUAAUACCCAUCAGGAAAGACAUCACUCACAGAAGAAGCACCGGCUAACUCCGUGCCAGCAGCCGCGGUAAUACGGAGGGUGCGAGCGUUAAUCGGAAUUACUGGGCGUAAAGCGCGCGUAGGUGGCUUGAUAAGCCGGUUGUGAAAGCCCCGGGCUCAACCUGGGAACGGCAUCCGGAACUGUCAAGCUAGAGUGCAGGAGAGGAAGGUAGAAUUCCCGGUGUAGCGGUGAAAUGCGUAGAGAUCGGGAGGAAUACCAGUGGCGAAGGCGGCCUUCUGGACUGACACUGACACUGAGGUGCGAAAGCGUGGGUAGCAAACAGGAUUAGAUACCCGUGUAGUC
RNAcentral lists this ribosomal RNA (465 nucleotides) under Vreelandella stevensii. RNAcentral describes it as "partial 16S ribosomal RNA". It matches the Rfam family "Bacterial small subunit ribosomal RNA", at positions 338 to 795 of the family's 1533-position model. Lineage: Bacteria; Pseudomonadati; Pseudomonadota; Gammaproteobacteria; Oceanospirillales; Halomonadaceae. The record is from RNAcentral.